This 1434-nucleotide ribosomal RNA is filed under the name uncultured bacterium. RNAcentral describes it as "16S ribosomal RNA". It matches the Rfam family "Bacterial small subunit ribosomal RNA". The record is from RNAcentral. RNAcentral also lists the same sequence under 1 other name.
CAGGCUUAACACAUGCAAGUCGAGGGGCAGCAUGGUCUUAGCUUGCUAAGGCCGAUGGCGACCGGCGCACGGGUGAGUAACACGUAUCCAACCUGCCGUCUACUCUUGGACAGCCUUCUGAAAGGAAGAUUAAUACAAGAUGGCAUCAUGAGUCCGCAUGUUCACAUGAUUAAAGGUAUUCCGGUAGACGAUGGGGAUGCGUUCCAUUAGAUAGUAGGCGGGGUAACGGCCCACCUAGUCUUCGAUGGAUAGGGGUUCUGAGAGGAAGGUCCCCCACAUUGGAACUGAGACACGGUCCAAACUCCUACGGGAGGCAGCAGUGAGGAAUAUUGGUCAAUGGGCGAGAGCCUGAACCAGCCAAGUAGCGUGAAGGAUGACUGCCCUAUGGGUUGUAAACUUCUUUUAUAAAGGAAUAAAGUCGGGUAUGGAUACCCGUUUGCAUGUACUUUAUGAAUAAGGAUCGGCUAACUCCGUGCCAGCAGCCGCGGUAAUACGGAGGAUCCGAGCGUUAUCCGGAUUUAUUGGGUUUAAAGGGAGCGUAGAUGGAUGUUUAAGUCAGUUGUGAAAGUUUGCGGCUCAACCGUAAAAUUGCAGUUGAUACUGGAUAUCUUGAGUGCAGUUGAGGCAGGCGGAAUUCGUGGUGUAGCGGUGAAAUGCUUAGAUAUCACGAAGAACUCCGAUUGCGAAGGCAGCCUGCUAAGCUGCAACUGACAUUGAGGCUCGAAAGUGUGGGUAUCAAACAGGAUUAGAUACCCUGGUAGUCCACACGGUAAACGAUGAAUACUCGCUGUUUGCGAUAUACUGCAAGCGGCCAAGCGAAAGCGUUAAGUAUUCCACCUGGGGAGUACGCCGGCAACGGUGAAACUCAAAGGAAUUGACGGGGGCCCGCACAAGCGGAGGAACAUGUGGUUUAAUUCGAUGAUACGCGAGGAACCUUACCCGGGCUUAAAUUGCAGAUGAAUUACGGUGAAAGCCGUAAGCCGCAAGGCAUCUGUGAAGGUGCUGCAUGGUUGUCGUCAGCUCGUGCCGUGAGGUGUCGGCUUAAGUGCCAUAACGAGCGCAACCCUUGUUGUCAGUUACUAACAGGUUCCGCUGAGGACUCUGACAAGACUGCCAUCGUAAGAUGUGAGGAAGGUGGGGAUGACGUCAAAUCAGCACGGCCCUUACGUCCGGGGCUACACACGUGUUACAAUGGGGGGUACAGAGGGCCGCUACCACGCGAGUGGAUGCCAAUCCCCAAAACCUCUCUCAGUUCGGACUGGAGUCUGCAACCCGACUCCACGAAGCUGGAUUCGCUAGUAAUCGCGCAUCAGCCACGGCGCGGUGAAUACGUUCCCGGGCCUUGUACACACCGCCCGUCAAGCCAUGGGAGCCGGGGGUACCUGAAGUGCGUAACCGCGAGGAGCGCCCUAGGGUAAAACUGGUGACUGGGGC